RNAcentral lists this ribosomal RNA (254 nucleotides) under uncultured bacterium. Its description in RNAcentral is "partial 16S ribosomal RNA". It matches the Rfam family "Bacterial small subunit ribosomal RNA", at positions 524 to 776 of the family's 1533-position model. The record is from RNAcentral.
UACGGAGGUUGCAAGCGUUAUCCGGAAUCACUGGGUUUAAAGGGUGCGUAGGCGGUGGUGUAAGUCAGUUGUGAAAUGCCCCGGCUUAACCGGCGGAACUGCGAUUGAUACUGCAUCACUUGAAUCAGGAUGAGGUAGGCGGAAUGUGGCAUGUAGCGGUGAGAUGCUUAGAUAUGCCAUAGAACACCGAUUGCGAAGGUAGCUUGCUGGGCCUGAAUUGACGCUGAGGCACGAAAGCGUGGGGAGCAAACAGG